UACGUAGGGUGCGAGCGUGUCCGGAAUUAUUGGGCGUAAAGAGCUCGUAGGUGGCGGGUCACGUCGGGUGUGAAAGCCCGGGGCUUAACUCCGGGUCUGCAUUCGAUACGGGUCUGCUGGGGUCCGGCAGGGGGGACUGGAAUUCCUGGUGUAGCGGUGAAAUGCGCAGAUAUCAGGAGGAACACCGGUGGCGAAGGCGGGGUCUCUGGGCCGGUACCGACGCUGGAGGAGCGAAAGCGUGGGGAGCGAACAGG
This 254-nucleotide ribosomal RNA is filed under the name uncultured bacterium. RNAcentral describes it as "partial 16S ribosomal RNA". It matches the Rfam family "Bacterial small subunit ribosomal RNA", at positions 524 to 776 of the family's 1533-position model. The record is from RNAcentral.